AUUGAACGCUGGCGGCAUGCCUUACACAUGCAAGUCGAACGGUAACAGGUUAAGCUGACGAGUGGCGAACGGGUGAGUAAUGUAUCGGAACGUGCCCAGACGUGGGGGAUAACUGCUCGAAAGAGCAGCUAAUACCGCAUACGACCUGAGGGGGAAAGCGGGGGAUCGCAAGAGCUCGCGCGAUUGGAGCGGCCGAUAUCAGAUUAGGUAGUUGGUGAGGUGAAGGCUCACCAAGCCGACGAUCUGUAGCUGCUCUGAGAGGAGGACCAGCCACACUGGGACUGAGACACGGCCCAGACUCCUACGGGAGGCGGCAGUGGGGAAUUUUGGACAAUGGUCGCAAGCCUGAUCCAGCCAUGCCGCGUGCGGGAAGAAGGCCUUCGGGUUGUAAACCGCUUUUGUCAGUGAAGAAAAGGUUCUGGCUAAUACCUGGCACUCAUGACGGUACCUGAAGAAUAAGCACCGGCUAACUACGUG
Molecule: ribosomal RNA, 477 nt
Filed under: uncultured bacterium
Lineage: Bacteria
Description: partial 16S ribosomal RNA
Rfam family: Bacterial small subunit ribosomal RNA
Source: RNAcentral